RNAcentral lists this ribosomal RNA (497 nucleotides) under uncultured bacterium. RNAcentral describes it as "partial 16S ribosomal RNA". It matches the Rfam family "Bacterial small subunit ribosomal RNA", at positions 28 to 507 of the family's 1533-position model. The record is from RNAcentral.
GACGAACGCUGGCGGCGUGCCUAAUACAUGCAAGUUGAGCGCUGAAGGUUGGUACUUGUACCAACUGGAUGAGCAGCGAACGGGUGAGUAACGCGUGGGGAAUCUGCCUUUGAGCGGGGGACAACAUUUGGAAACGAAUGCUAAUACCGCAUAAAAACUUUAAACACAAGUUUUAAGUUUGAAAGAUGCAAUUGCAUCACUCAAAGAUGAUCCCGCGUUGUAUUAGCUAGUUGGUGAGGUAAAGGCUCACCAAGGCGAUGAUACAUAGCCGACCUGAGAGGGUGAUCGGCCGCAUUGGGACUGAGACACGGCCCAAAGUCCUACGGGAGGCAGCAGUAGGGAAUCUUCGGCCAUGGACGAAAGUCUGACCGAGAAACGCCGCGGGAGUGAAGAAGGUUUUCGGAUCGUAAAACUCUGUUGGUAGAGAAGAACGUUGGUGAGAGUGGAAAGCUCAUCAAGUGACGGUAACUACCCAGAAAGGGACGGCUAACUACGUG